AGCCCCGGCAACUACGUGCCAGCAGCCGCGGUAAUACGUAGGGGGCAAGCGUUAUCCGGAUUUACUGGUGUAAAGGGAGCGUAGACGGUUAUGCAAGUCUGAUGUGAAAACCCGCGGCUCAACUGCGGAUUGCAUUGGAAACUGUGUAACUUGAGUACUGGAGGGGCAGGCGGAAUUCCUGGUGUACGGUGAAAUGCGUAGAUAUCAGGAGGAACACCGGUGGCGAAGGCGGCCUGCUGGACAGUACUGACGUUGAGGCUCGAAAGCGUGGGGAGCAAACAGGAUUAGAUACCCUGGUAGUCCAGCCGUAAACGAUGAAUACUAGGUGUGGGUGGGCAUUGCCCAUCGGUGCCGCAGCUAACGAAUAAGUAUUCCACCUGGGGAGUACGUUCGCAAGAAUGAAACUCAAAGGAAUUGACGGGACCCGCACAAGCGGUGGAGCAUGUGGUUUAAUUCGAAGCAACGCGAAGAACCUUACCAGUCUUGACAUCUGACUGACCGCCCCGUAAUGGGGGCUUUCCUUCGGGACAGUCAAGACAGUGGUGCAUGGUUGUCGUCAGCUCGUGUCGUGAGAUGUUGGGUUAAGUCCCGCAACGAGCCAACCCUUGCCGUCAGUAGCCAGCAUUUAGGAUGGGCACUCUGAUGGGACCGCCAGGGAAACCUGGAGGAAGAUGGGGAUGACGUCAAAUCAUCAUGCCCCUUAUGAUCUGGGCUACAACGUGCUACAAUGGCGUCCGACAAAGGGAAGCGAAGGAGCGAUCCGGAGCGAAUCCCAAAACGGCGUCUCAGUUCGGACUGCAGGCUGCAACCCGCCUGCACGAAGCUGGAAUCGCUAUAAUCGCAGAUCAGCAUGCUGCGGUGAAUACGUUCCCGGGUCUUGCACUCACCGCCCGU
This 894-nucleotide ribosomal RNA is filed under the name uncultured bacterium. RNAcentral describes it as "bacterial SSU rRNA". It matches the Rfam family "Bacterial small subunit ribosomal RNA", at positions 488 to 1397 of the family's 1533-position model. The record is from RNAcentral.